This is a long non-coding RNA of Dioscorea cayenensis subsp. rotundata (Guinea yam), 3343 nucleotides long. RefSeq lists it as uncharacterized. Lineage: Eukaryota; Viridiplantae; Streptophyta; Magnoliopsida; Dioscoreales; Dioscoreaceae. The transcript has 3 exons. The record is from RefSeq and is a predicted model, not a curated record.
AUGUACUUGUUGGCUUUGAUUUGAGAUGUCCAAGAACAUUGGUUCGUGUUGUGGUUGGAUUGAUUUUUUAUUUUUAUUAUUAUUAUUUUUUAUAAUCGAUUAGCUUUAAUUAUGGUUUACCUUCUUAAUACCCUAGCAUAUCUAUCCCUAGUGCACCUUACUCUCAAACCAGGUUGGUGCUUAACUAUCGAGCUUAGUAGGAUACCGGCUUGGGCAAUUGCCUAAGUGCAAUAUGUAUGAGCUAAUGGGUACAAGAAGACUGCCACACACUAUUUGUUGAGUGGUAGCUAGUUUGCUGAAAUAUAAGAUUAGAGAAGCUACUGUGAGUGUAAGCUGCUGCACCAAAGGAAAUCAGAGCGUGUAACUUAUUAGGUAUAGUAGUAGAUACAGUAAUCUAUAGAGGCUACUGAAUUCCUAAAGCCUAUAAGAAAAUUACUAGGUUUAAUUAGGGUUUUCUUUAAGUUUUUCCACAAAAACCUACCCAAAAAAAAAACACCUCUAAGUGGUAUCACGACUACUAUGCCUUAAUUUCUUCGCCUUUAAAAAAAAGGUUACAGAUCCAUGGAGAGUUUUCUCUGUAUGGCAAGUACAAACUUGUGAAUGCGUCUGUGUCUUGUGAUUGGGUGAUCAGAUUAUUUUCCUUGUUGGUUAUGAUGCCCAGUGUAAGUGACCUGGAACAAAGGUUGGUCAAUAUUACAGACCUUCCUUUCAACCUGCUUGGUUGCUUGACAUCCUUGAUUUCUGUAAGUGCAUCUAUAAUAGCUUCUGCAAAUUAAUACACACCAUCAAUUAGUUUUCCCGUAAAGAACAUAUGUUAAUGACUUUCAUUAAACAAAAUUUUGUAUUGGCUAUCUCAUUAAAAACCUGCUCUGUUGCUUGACAUCUUUUAUUUUUGUAAGUGCAUCUAUAAUAGCUUCUGCAAAUUAGUACACACCAUCAAUUAGAUUUCCCUUAAAGAACAUAUGUUAAUGACUAAUUUUCAUUAACUAAAAUUUUGUAUUAGCUAUCUAAUUAAGAACCUCUAUAUAUGAAGCAUGAUAUACAGUAUUAUAUAUAUAUAUGGAUGCUUUGUUUUGAAGGGCUUGAUAGGCAUAUAUGCAUAUAUAUAUAUAUAUAUAUAUAUAUUCCAACCAAACCUUGAGAGUUUGGUUUUCUGGAUGUUCUUCUGCCCAUACUCCUCCAUUAGUAACCAUCAUCAUGUGGAGAAUAAGUGAUUUGAAUAAAUGAUUUUAGUCCAUGAAUUCAUGCUCUUCCUGUAAUUGAAAGAAAAGAAAUUACAAAUAGCCACACAUGCAAUGUUGUACUCUAGUCUUAAUUACUGUAUAUCCAAGUGCUCCUCCAUGAAAUAUAUUCAUAUAACUAAGGCAGCAAGGCAUCAAAGAUGAUCCUUAAAAAAAAUUCACAAUUCUUUUUUUAACAAAAUCCAGUUGCAGCUGGGAAUGCAGGUUCUUCAUGUGGUAUUGCCUUGGCAAGGGAGAGCAUAAUAAUAUAUAAAGUGUGUUACAGUGUUAGUGUGAAGUUCAACAGAGAUUUGGUGAGAUGUGAGAUUUUAUGAAUGAAUGAAUGGACGUGUUAUCAUAUCAUAUACUUUCUUUAACAGAGAAGGAUUUAGUUUGACACAGAGUGGACAUUGGAAUCUUGGAUGGAUGAUGUGUAUAACAUAGUGUAGAGGGUGUAUUGAUUAAGGAAUAUGAAUGAAUGAUGUUUUGAUUUAUCUGUAAAUGAGUAUGGAGUGUAGAGGACUCUGGAAAUCUGUGACUCAUGUGAAUGUUCAGUGUUGUUUUGAUUUCUUUUUUUUCUAAAAAAUUUGGUUUGAAAAUGCAAUGAAUCAUGGACAGCAAUGAGAGGUUUUUGUCCUGCAAAUGAGUAGUCUUUCUAACCUUAGAUAAGUAGCUUCUUCUGAUUCCCCUUCUCUCUCAGUUAGCCUUUUCUCAUGGUGCUAUUUAUGUUGUUUUUUGUUCUUUUUGUUCAUGCUUGGUGUUAUCUUCAGUACCUCCAAGGUCUGCGGUGGAAAAUUUUGUAGGGUUCGUUUAUUAAUUUGUUUUAUUUUUCAUCUUUGGCUGGAUAGACUCAGUUUAUUUUAGAAGUCCAGAAUCAUUGAUUAAUGGUGUAUUUCAGUUGAUAUCUAUGAUUCGAACUGUUGUCUUUGCUUCUUUGUAGGAUAUUGCUUUGUGGAUGAUCUAAAACAGGAGUAUGAAAUGAGAUAUUUUUGUCUGUCAGUGUAUUUGACAUUUAUCUGUUUUGUCACUUGGUUUGCUGCAUCAUGUAGGUAAGCUUAUGUGGGUUGCUUCUUUGUAGGAUGUUACUUUGUGGAUGAUCUAAGAUGGAAGGGAGCAUGAAAUGAGAUAUUUGUUUUGUCUAUUUGUGUAUUUGACAUAUUUAUGUUUUGUAACUUGGUUUGCUGCGUCAUGUAGGUAGGUUAUGUAGGUUGCAGAAAGUAAUUUGUAUAAUGCAUUGAUCUGGUAAAGGCAAUGACUUAAAGCUUUUUGUCACCACCAAGGAUUCAAAAGGUUGUUGAUGGAUCUUGUGCUUUCUCAGGAUCUGCAUGUUUUCUUUUUACCAUAAGGUGGUUGCUCGAUUCUGUUCGGGCACAUUGACUAAGGAUACUUGAAUAAACUGCAAGAGACAGCAAUCAAGGCAUUUACAUUUGCUGAUAAAUACCGAGGAAAAUACAGUGACUCCCUUUCCUCAGUUGUCUGUCCCUUCUUUUGCUCAUACUCUGGUUUUGAAGUAAGGAUUAAUUAAGUUACUUGUUUGUUGAUUUGCUAGGAACUAGUUUGAUAACAAAGAGUAAGACUAGCAUGUUGAUGUUUGAUCAUUAGGAAGAACUUUUAUGGGGAGCUGCAUAGCUUUAUAAGGCUACACAGAACUCUUAUCUUAAACUUUGUCAAGUCUCUCAGUGUUAAUAAUCAAAAUUCAGAUACUUUUAGUUGGGAUGACAAAGUACCUGGUGCUCGUGUGCUUCUAGCAAGGGAAGUAUAUAUAUGUGUGUGUGUAUGUUUUCUUUGUAUUAUUUUUAGUGUUUUUUUUUUAAAUGAAAAUGUGAAAAUGUAGAAUUACUUGGUUGAGAAACAUGAAGUAACUGCAGAAUAUAGAAAGAGAGCAGAGAGGUAUUUUUGCAGUGUGCUGCCAAGUUCUUCAUCAAUGAGUGUGAAGUAUACAGCAGUGGGAUUGCUGUAUAAAAUGAGUGGGAGUAAUUUGCAGUAUUUGAAUCACUUAUCACUUAAAAAACACCUAUUUGGAUUUAUUUUAGUAUUGUGAACUUCAGAUGAGCUUGUGCUCUAUCAAAAUUCAUCAACUGAGUCUUCCAUCUUCAAAGCAUUGUUAGCAAUGACUUGUUGAA